Lates calcarifer (barramundi perch) is the source of this 533-nucleotide long non-coding RNA. RefSeq lists it as uncharacterized. The record is from RefSeq and is a predicted model, not a curated record. NCBI's taxonomy places the organism in Eukaryota, Metazoa, Chordata, Actinopteri, Centropomidae. The transcript has 3 exons.
UGUAUUAUAUUACUGCACACAGAGCACCAACUCACCAUAACACGUUUUUAACACAUUUCUUAGAGCUUUUAUCUCUUCUUAACACAAAUUAUGAUCAAAUUCUUGUUCUAUUAUUACUAUUAAACUAUUAGAAGAUCUAUGGACCAGCCCACAAUCAUGGCCAUACUUUACUGUGGGUUUGUGCCUUUGCUCCAGGUUAAUGCAGAGUUUUUGGUGCUGAUGUAAUUCUGAUCUGUGAAGUACUUAUGGCUGCAUGUUAGUGUAAAAGGUGCUGUUUAAAUAAACUCCUGUUGAGUCAUGGUAGAAAAGCAGCACAAACAGGAUGGCUCUCUGCUCUAUCGUGUGUCCAGUGAUCUGGAGUUUUCUGUGGAUUGUUUCUGCCAAGGGAGACACUGAGGUGUCCUGUGUUUUCAUGGAGAGCUGCAUCUUACCGUGCAGCUUCCAGAGCGGAGCUGAUCCAGCCAUCAUCUGGUUUCUGGUGACAGCAGGAGACCUUCAUGUUCACUCCUACUACAGCAACCAAGACCAGCUCG